AUGACAGACACAAACCAGCCGCCACACACAAUCCACGUUAGAAGGAAAGUACAAAAUCAAAUCAUCAAGAAAAUCAAGGAAAAUCAAACAAAAUCUUGUUACUGUGUGAAUUAUAAAAAAGAAGGAAAGCCAUACAUGGUAUAAUUACUAUACCAGAAUGUGAUUUCAUCAUAAUAAAAAAGAUUUUUGCUUAAAAGAAUAACUGAAAAUCAUCAAGAAAGUAUAAUAGAAGAGUUCAUCAGCCAUUAGUUGAAUGCUGAAAGCUGGCAAGAUUUUUCUCACUGCGUUAGCAGUCUGGUUAGUUCUGAAUCAGCAGCUACAAAUCAGCAGCUUCCUUUUUCUCGCAUGUUAGUCUAGCAUCAGCGGCUACGAAUGGCGUGCUACAUGUGCAAGGUUUCCUGCUUGCUGAUUGGUUAGUGACGGAGGAGGUGAUGGCAGGAGGGCAGCUGCAAGAAAAAACUUAACAGCCAAUCAGAUUCCUAGGCUUAGGGAAGAGGUAAGCUGAACAGCCAACCAGAGUCCUAGGCUUAGGGAAGAGGUAAACUUAACAGCCAAUCAGAUUCCUAGGCUUUGGGCAGAGGUAAACUUAACAGCCAAUCAGAUUCCUAGGCUUAGGGAAGAGGUAAACUUAACAGCCAAUCAGAUUCCUAGGCUUAGGGAAGAGGUAAACUUAACAGCCAAUCAGAGUCCUAGGCUUAGGGAAGAGGUAAGCUGAACAGCCAACCAGAGUCCUAGGCUUAGGGAAGAGGUAAACUUAACAGCCAAUCAGAUUCCUAGGCUUAGGGAAGAGGUAAGCUGAACAGCCAACCAGAGUCCUAGGCUUAGGGAAGAGGUAAACUUAACAGCCAAUCAGAUUGACAACCUUUAAUAAAGGAAACUCCACAUCCAAUCAGAUUUCUACCCUUAGGAAUACCAAACUCUUGUAUAUUAAGAUCAUAUUCAGUCACAUGACUAUGUGAUAAUGCCAUUGAAUGUGACUAAAUAUUUGCUUUGUUCUUCAAUGUUUAAGCAAAUAAAAUGCCAUAAGAUAAAAUAAGUUCAGUACAGCAUAGAGUGUGGCUCUAGUUUCUAUCUUACAUAAGCCAUAAGUAGUUACAAGGUUGUGCCCGAAAGGGAUGAAGUGUUUAAACAUUGCCAGCAGAAUCGGCCCAGCAUUGCUAAGCAUGGCUCUUAAACCACAGGUAGGUUAUGUCGAUAGCAGAUGUUUGCAGGUGGCACCAGGUGUUCACAGGUGGCACCAGGUGUUCACAGGUGGCACCAGGUGUUCACAGGUGGCACCAGGUG
Long non-coding RNA from Branchiostoma belcheri (Belcher's lancelet), 1284 nucleotides. RefSeq lists it as uncharacterized. The record is from RefSeq and is a predicted model, not a curated record. NCBI's taxonomy places the organism in Eukaryota, Metazoa, Chordata, Leptocardii, Amphioxiformes, Branchiostomatidae. The transcript is spliced from 3 exons.